CACGUAGUUAGCCGGAGCUUAUUCUAUAGGUACUGUCAUUUUUUCUUCCCUAUCUAAAGCAGUUUACAAUCCGAAAACCUUCUUCCUGCACGCGGCGUCACUGCGUCAGAGUUUCCUCCAUUGCGCAAUAUUCCCGACUGCUGCCUCCCGUAGGAGUCUGGGCCGUAUCUCAGUCCCAAUGUGGCCGUUCAACCUCUCAGUCCGGCUACUGAUCAUCGUCUUGGUGGGCCUUUACCUCACCAACUAACUAAUCAGACGCAAGAUCAUCUAUAAGCGGAUUACUCCUUUUCUCUUUGUAUCAUGCGAUUCUCAGAGCUUAUGCGGUAUUAGCAAUGAUUUCUCACUGUUAUUCCCCUCUUAUAGGCAGAUUUCUUACGCGUUACUCACCAGUCCGCCACUAACCGCUCCAUUAGUAAACUAAAGGUUAAGUUCGUUCGACUUGCAUGUCUUAUGUGCGCCGCCAGCGUUUAUCCUGAGCCAGGAUCAAACUCU
Molecule: ribosomal RNA, 492 nt
Filed under: uncultured bacterium
Lineage: Bacteria
Description: partial 16S ribosomal RNA
Source: RNAcentral